UAGCUCAGUGGUAGAGCAUUUGCCUACCAUGCAGGAAGCUCUGGGUUCAAUCCCCAG
This 57-nucleotide transfer RNA is filed under the name Heterocephalus glaber (naked mole-rat). It matches the Rfam family "tRNA", at positions 8 to 63 of the family's 71-position model. Rfam says of the family: Transfer RNA (tRNA) molecules are approximately 80 nucleotides in length. Their secondary structure includes four short double-helical elements and three loops (D, anti-codon, and T loops). The record is from Rfam by way of RNAcentral. Lineage: Eukaryota; Metazoa; Chordata; Mammalia; Rodentia; Bathyergidae.